AACAGGUCCAUCUCGGAUGGAACUUUAAAAUGGCAGAGACACAACUAGAGUCCUUCAGCCAGUGUUCUCAUUCGAUUGAUUAUUUGGAGUAGCUUUGGAAACUUCAAAAACGGUCAAGCUUUAGGUAUCUGACAUUAUUCUAGAGAUGAACUAUAUUUGGAUAUGAGAAAAAGUACAAGCAAGAUCCACGAUAAGACUAUGUUCCACUUGUGGGAGCAGUUAUGAGAACUAAGUAUACGAACCAGAAAGUUAGGAGCUUAUAAGCUGAGUAUCCAAUGUUUCUGAAACAUGUUUGGCCUCAAAAGAUGCCAGGCCCUUUGAUUUGCUAAAAAAAGAAGCUCAUGUUAAGAUUAGAUACACUCUGAAUCCAUAUUCUAAAGACUUAUGAAGAGGAAUGGUUUUAUAUCCCAGUCGGUGGGUCCUUGCCAAACACUGAACAAAAGAAUCUCGCCGUUGGUCUGCAGCAAUUGAAGGAACCC
Molecule: long non-coding RNA, 479 nt
Organism: Brassica napus (rape)
Lineage: Eukaryota; Viridiplantae; Streptophyta; Magnoliopsida; Brassicales; Brassicaceae
Exons: 4
Source: RefSeq, a predicted model, not a curated record